RNAcentral lists this long non-coding RNA (831 nucleotides) under Equus asinus (donkey). RNAcentral describes it as "lncRNA (ENSEASG00005036181.1)". The record is from RNAcentral. Lineage: Eukaryota; Metazoa; Chordata; Mammalia; Perissodactyla; Equidae.
CGGGGCUUGGCUCUGGAGAGUUCUCGGGGAGGCGGGCCGGGCACUCGGGUCUCGCCAGCACCCUUGGGCUCCAGGCGGCUCCUCGGCGCCGCUCCUCCCUGGCCCCGGCGGUGUCUCGGCUGGGCGCCGGGGCCCUCCAGCUCGUCCCGUCUCGGGGCUGGGCCGCCUGCAGGCCCGCUCGCUGCUGUGGCCGGAGCCAACCCAGCGCUCCGCCAGCGCCUUGCGCCCCGGGCCACCAGCCCGCCCGUCGGCACGUGUCGCAGCACCGCCUCGGCUGUGGUUCCGGGUUAGAAGGGAAGGAUUCGUGAGGCCAUCGGUCAUCGGGCGGACAUGGGGCGGGGGCAGCCCAGCCAGAGGCCAGGGCGGCGGCGGCCUGGGCGGCGGCCCCUGGGCGGCGGGCUCUGGGCGGCGGGGCCUGUGCUGGUGCAGAAGCAGUCCUGCAGGCCUGAGCGUGGGAGCCCAAGAACGGAGCGAGGACACGUCAUCCGUGCCUGAGCCCACAUGCUGCUUGGGCAGAGCAGUCCAUACAGUUUCCAGAGGAAGAUUCCAAUGACCUGAGGAUGGAGAUUCGGGCAGUACAUGGAGCCGGGAAGUUGGGAAAAAGACUCACUUCAGACCCAAGCCGACCCCGCGCAGUGGGUCAGCUGGGGGCUCUGCCACAUCUCCCUGGACUCUGUCACCCAGACCAAUAGAGGAGCCAUCAUCUUAAACGUUGCUGAUUACUGUGGCAAAGAGAAAGAAAGGCCUAGAAGGUCUCCCAUUGGCAGCCAAGUGCUCCAGCUCACCAAUGUUACACCUCACUUCUAUUCAAAAUGCCCCGCAAGGGGGCCG